This 228-nucleotide ribosomal RNA is filed under the name uncultured bacterium. RNAcentral describes it as "partial 16S ribosomal RNA". It matches the Rfam family "Bacterial small subunit ribosomal RNA", at positions 568 to 796 of the family's 1533-position model. The record is from RNAcentral.
CAUGUAGGUGGCCUCUUAAGUCGAUUGUGAAAUCCCUUGGCUUAACCGUAGUAAGCUUUUGAAACUGUAUGGCUUGAGUGCAGGAGAGGAAAGCGGAAUUCCUAGUGUAGCGGUGAAAUGCGUAGAUAUUAGGAAGAACACCAGUAGCGAAGGCGGCUUUCUGGACUGAAACUGACGCUGAGGUACGAAAGCGUGGGGAGCGAACAGGAUUAGAUACCCUGGUAGUCC